UGAUUGAAAUAAACUACUAAAGUAUCUCACAGGAGAUCUGUUGUUUCAUUGGAAAAUGGUGAAGUGUGUGUGUUGAUCUUACGGGACAAUUAAUGAUUCCAGUAUCUUUUACCAAGACAAGACGGUAAGAAUGGCAAUGUUUUUAGUUGCUCAGCAGUGUGAAAGACAAGGCAAGUACAGAACAGAGAGGUAAAAUAUUGAAAAGGUGUAAUAUUGUAUUUAUUGUGGUGGGAGGGACAUAAAUAAAUGCCAUUAUGAAUUAUAUGUUGCGGUUAGUGUUAAAUUGUGAUAUGAAUAGAAAAGGAUAUUGUGAAUUGCCUGGAUGGAAAUGAGAAUGAAUUUAAAACAUUGUGAAGUUUUGAGAAUGGAAAUAGGGCAUGAAAAGUUAGUGCAGUGAAAAAUGGAAAGUGUUAGUUGAAAUAUGAAAGAAAUGAAAAUGGAAAGUGUUAGUUGAAAUAUGAAACAAAUGAAGGAACUACAAGAGGUCAGCAAUAGACAUUUUUGAAAAAUGGAGAUGUGAAAGUGAAAAAUGAAUGAAAAUAAUUGGAAAGGGAGAGAAUAUAUGGAAAUUGGAAUGGAAACAAUGGAAUAAUAGUCAAGGAAAUGGAAAAAACUACGAGUGUUGAAUGAAAUGAAAUUUGAAAGCGAAAAUACUUUAUCAUAUGUUAAAAGCAAAUGAAUAAAAAAGAAUAUAAUUGGGUUGAGAAAAUGUAGAUGAAAAAGAUAAUGAAAGUAAUUGGCGUUCUAGACAGAUCAACUUUCUGUAGAAAGUUAAUUCCAGGUUUCCUGGCAUCAAUGAUUGUUGAUUGUUUGCACCUCCCCAUCAUAGUUCUGCCAUGAAGGGGAAGU
Molecule: long non-coding RNA, 849 nt
Organism: Ruditapes philippinarum (Manila clam)
Lineage: Eukaryota; Metazoa; Mollusca; Bivalvia; Venerida; Veneridae
Exons: 3
Source: RefSeq, a predicted model, not a curated record